This 807-nucleotide non-coding RNA is filed under the name Perkinsus marinus ATCC 50983. Its description in RNAcentral is "Eukaryotic small subunit ribosomal RNA". It matches the Rfam family "Eukaryotic small subunit ribosomal RNA", at positions 1 to 803 of the family's 1831-position model. Lineage: Eukaryota; Perkinsozoa; Perkinsida; Perkinsidae. The record is from Rfam by way of RNAcentral.
CACCUGGUUGAUCCUGCCAGUAGUCAUAUGCUUGUCUCAAAGAUUAAGCCAUGCAUGUCUAAGUAUAAGCUUUAAACGGCGAAACUGCGAAUGGCUCAUUAAAACAGUUAUAGUUUAUUUGGUGAUCGAUUACUAUUUGGAUAACCGUAGUAAUUCUAGAGCUAAUACAUGCGUCAAGGCCCGACUUCGGAAGGGCUGCGUUUAUUAGAUACAGAACCAACCUAGGCUCCGCCUAGUCCUUGUUGGUGAUUCAUAAUAACCCGGCGAAUCGCACGGCUUGUCCGGCGAUGGACCAUUCAAGUUUCUGACCUAUCAGCUAUGGACGGUAGGGUAUUGGCCUACCGUGGCGUUGACGGGUAACGGGGAAUUAGGGUUCGAUUCCGGAGAGGGAGCCUGAGAAACGGCUACCACAUCUAAGGAAGGCAGCAGGCGCGCAAAUUACCCAAUCCUGAUACAGGGAGGUAGUGACAAGAAAUAACAAUACAGGGCAAUUCUGUCUUGUAAUUGGAAUGAGUAGAUUUUAAAUCUCUUUACGAGUAUCAAUUGGAGGGCAAGUCUGGUGCCAGCAGCCGCGGUAAUUCCAGCUCCAAUAGCGUAUAUUAAAGUUGUUGCGGUUAAAAAGCUCGUAGUUGGAUUUCUGCCUUGGGCGACCGAUCCACCUUUCCUACGGGAUUGGUUGGUAUCAGGUUUGACCUUGGCUUUUUCUUGGGAUUCGUGCUCACGUACUUAACUGUGCGUUGACCGUGUUCCAAGACUUUUACUUUGAGGAAAUUAGAGUGUUUCAAGCAGGCUUAUGCCAUGAAUACA